UUCAAUGGUGGCGUUGUUGGAGCAUCCGAAAGGGUGGCUGGUUACCUUGUACACCAGUAUUCUCACCUCUGAUAACGUCACCACCCCU
This is a non-coding RNA of Providencia rettgeri Dmel1, 88 nucleotides long. The record is from Rfam. NCBI's taxonomy places the organism in Bacteria, Pseudomonadati, Pseudomonadota, Gammaproteobacteria, Enterobacterales, Morganellaceae.